This is a long non-coding RNA of Canis lupus familiaris (dog), 2783 nucleotides long. RefSeq lists it as uncharacterized. The record is from RefSeq and is a predicted model, not a curated record. The transcript has 4 exons. Lineage: Eukaryota; Metazoa; Chordata; Mammalia; Carnivora; Canidae.
ACUAGGUCAUUCAAAUUUCCCAAGCUGGCUGUGAAGGGAGAGUCUUCCUCCUACGUGUGGAGACCCUGCAGUUCAGAAGGCCAAUCCCAUUGCCCCGUGCAGUACCCAUUAUGUAUUCAGUGAAGAUAUAGGGGUGACCAAGGCAGAUGGAGCUCCAUCUUCAGGGGACCCUGCACCCAGUAAGAAGACUGUGACAGGGCUACUGGUGUACACAGGCAAGGCGCCCACCCCAAUGCAGAGGGCCCUGGAAGGCUCUCUUGAGGAAGGAAUAUCUAGAUUGAAAGCUAAAAGCGCUGUCUUGGCGGUGAGGCGGCGGGGGACACGGACAUAGAUACUGCAGAGUGGAAAGUUGGAGAUCCACGCCGCGUAGGGAAACAGAGCAGGCUCCUACUAAGCCUGCGGCUCCCAGAGCAAUCCGAGACAAGCUGACAGCAACGUGAGCUGGUGCCUCCUUCAGUUUGCAGCAAGGGGUGAGGAAGGGGUGUGCAACAGAGGAGAUGGCCUGCAGACGGUAGGCCGGGGGUGGAAGGGGUACACCACCCCCACUCCCACCCCCAGUGCUGGCGAAGGCAACUGCUACCGGCCACAACUAGCAGGGACUCGAACUGAAAAUGUUUGAAGCAGCAGCGGCCCAUCACAACUGUCUCGAUUCUGUAGACAAAGCCUUGGCUGCCCGGCAAGAUCAGACGCAGGAUCUGCUGGGCCCGCCAGCUAGUUGUCUGAGCUGCUUGGGAGGUUAAGCAUCAGUAAACUGAGGCAGAGACAGACAAGUCAUUAGAAAGCAAAGAGAUGGAGCCUCUUGAAAGCCACAUUAGGCAAGAGUGUCAGGCUCAGUCCUCCAGAACUUCCUGACAGGGAAGGUCCCUAAAUUUCAGAGGGAAUUAUGCGGCCAACAAAGCCAAGAACCGGUGGCCUCGCCCCAAAGCCAGGCCCAUGUGGGCCAGCUGCAGAAAGUGUGCAGAGCCCUCCUCAGAGGUGGUCAUGGAGGAAACAGGACGUGAGUACAGUCCUCCCAGAGAGUGGAGUCCAGGCCCCACAACACCUGCCUCUCAGGAUCCCGUUGUCGCUGGCCCAGUGCAGCCACCUGGGACCCAUGCUCCUGCUCUCCCUUCUUCUGAUGAGAGUUUCACCAACUUUGAUCCUGUGCCCGUCCCACCAUUUCAUUCUGGCUUGGAGUGGGCAGUCAUUUGGAUUUUCCUUCUAGCUCCCUGGCUGCUGCUGGUGGGGAACAUGCUGCAUCUCUAAGAGACAGAGGACCUCAAACAGGAAUGGGCUCUCCCGUGCCCUCUGGGCUGCUCUUCACACAGUAGCCAGAAAGAUCUUCCUAAAACCUCAGACCAUGGCUUUGUCCUGCUCCAAACGCUCCAGUGCCCUCCCACUGCAUGAAGGGUCCAAGCCGAGGGACCUGAAGUAGUCCCUGCUCGCCCAUGUCCCUCAGGUAUCACAGCCAUAUUCUAGGCAAGAGGAAAGGUGGGUGCUGCCUGUCUUGACAUCUCCAUCUAACGUUGCCUCCCUGGGCACUCUUUACCUCGCUGCCCCAUCUUAUUCUGGUCCUUUAUCACUCCUUGGAGUUUUCUUGCUUGUUGACCAACUCUUGUCACUGAAAUAAAAGCCCCCAAAGCAGGACUACACUUGUGCUCACUGCUAAACCCCGGCUGCGGCACAGUGACUGGAACAUAUUUGUUGAAUGAAUGAACAGUGAAGUCCCCUAGUUGGCUUGGUGCUGGAGUCGGGACUCAAACCCAGAUCUCCCACCUCCUGGGCCUGGACAUUUCACAGAGUGUCCCCAAGCCCCUCUCUGUGUGAGGAGCUACCCAGUCCAUUUGCAGGUUCCGGGAGUAUGAACAAGGAGCCUGUGUUUUCAGGCCUGGAUGGAGAGACAGAGAAAAAAAUCCCCCAUGCCCCCCACUGGGAUUUGGGGAGUCCUCCUUACUCAGAGUGUGAGGCAAUCUUUCUUCAGAGGCCGCUGGCGGGCAAGAUGAUCCUGGGCGGUGCAGAGCCCAGAGUAAAUGGCAACCCCUCACCUCGAGGGCAAGUGCUUUCUUUUUCCUGGGAGCUUUAGGGGAGUGACAUCUUACCAGAAUUUAAUAACCUUUUUUGGGGUUUCUUUUCAUUGUAUUUAUUUUUGCAGGAUCCUACAUGCAAUACAGGGAUUCGAUUCAGAUAGUCAUACAGAGUUUCUCCUUUAAAUAAAUAUAUUUCAGAGUUCAAAGAGUGAACCCAUUCAAAGAGCAAUAUUAAGAGUGGCCUAAAGAUCUGGUACAAAUGCCAAUCAUCACGUCUACAUAAUUCCAAAACAUUUUCUUCAUCCCCAAAAGAAACCUGGCACAUUAGCAGUCUGAUUCAUCUGCCUCCCCCAACACUCCUCUCCUGCCUCCCGCAACUACAAAUCUACUUUAUGUCUCUGUAGAUUUGUCGAUGUGGGCAUUUCACAUACAUGGAAUCAUACAGUGUAGCGUCUUUCACUCAGCGUAUUGUCAACGUUAUCCAUGUCGUAGCACGUGUCAGUACUUCAUUUUUUAUGGCCAAGUAAUGUUCCAUUGUGUGGAUGGACCCUGUUUUGUUUAUCUGCUCAUCCAUGGACGGACAUUUGGGUUUUUCCAUCUUUUGGUGAUUGUGUAUUAUUGCUGCUGAGAGCAUGGGGGUUCAAGCAUCUGUUUACAUACGACAUUUGAUGGUCACGUUUGUGCUUCCUGCAGAGGCCUAUGGCCAGGCACUUUUUUUUUUUAAGAUUUUAUUUAUUUAUUCAUGAGAGACAGAGAGAGAGAGAGAGGCAGAGAGAG